AAACGAAGAGAAAUUCUCCCCAGCAAACCCACUUGCUUAUUUGAUUUUGUGUACGGUGGUUCCAGUUUCUGCAUGUCCUCACCAGCGCCUGGCAUUCUGCGGUGGUACCUCAUUGUGGUUUCUCACCUGCAUUCCACACAUGACUCAUGGUGCUGAGGCUCACAUGCUUAUUAGCCGUGUGAUAAUGCUGGCUUUAUAGAAUGAAUUAGGAAAUAUUCCUUUCGCUUCUAUUACUGGAAAACAUCAUAGAAAAUUACUAUCAUGUUUGGUCGCAUUCAUCAGUGAACCCAUUGAGACCCGCUGCUUCCUGGUCUGAAGGAAGGUAAUGAUUUAUUGAUUCAAAUCCCUUAAUGCAUAUAUACCUAUUCCUAUUAUCUACUCUUUCUUGUGUAAGUUUUGGUAGAUUGUGUCUUUAAGAAAUUGAUUUAUUUCAUCUAGGUUAUCAUAUUUGUGGGCAUAGAGUUGUUACAGGAAUAAUAUUCUCUUAUCAUUCUUUAGGUUCAAUAGCAGUGGCCUCUAUUUUAUUUCUAAUGUCAAUAGUUUGUGUCUCAUUUCUUACCUUGUUAACUUAGCUACAGGUUAUCAAUUUCAUUGAUUUUUUUUUUAAAACAACUUUUGGUUUUGUUGACUUUCUCUAGUAGGUUCCUAAUUUCAGUUUCGUUGAUGUCUGCUCUAGUUUUUAUUAAUGUUUUUUGUCUGCCUGCUGUGUUUUUGAUGAGUUCUUCUUUUCUGGUUUAUUGAGGUGGAACCUUAGAUAAUUGGUUUCAGAUCUUUCUUCUUUCCUGAAAUGCCUCAUUUCGAUGCAGUAAAGUCUCCUCCCAGCACUGAUUUUGUUGCAUCUCCCACGUUUUGAUAAGUUGUAUUUUCAUUUUCAUUUAUUUCAAAAUAUUGCUUAAUUUCUCUGGAGAAUUUUUCUUUGACUCGUGUUAUUUUGAAGUGUGUUGUUUAAUCUCCAGGUAUUUUUUAUUUUUCCAAUUGUCUUUCUGCUAUUGAUUUCUAGUUUUAUUGUGUUCAGAGAGCAUAUUUUAUUUUUCCAUUCUUUUAACUUGUUGGGGUGUGUCAGGACUUAAAAUUUGGUCUGUCUUGGUGAAUGUCCCAUGUGAGCUUGAGAAGAAUGUAUUUUGCUGUUGCUUAACAAAACAUUGCAUAGAUAUCACGCAAAUUGGCUGAAUGAUAGUACUGUUCGGUCCCGCUAUGCCCUUACCGAUUUGUCUGCUGGAUCUGGC
Molecule: long non-coding RNA, 1226 nt
Filed under: Callithrix jacchus (white-tufted-ear marmoset)
Lineage: Eukaryota; Metazoa; Chordata; Mammalia; Primates; Cebidae
Description: lncRNA (ENSCJAG00000076434.1)
Source: RNAcentral